UCUCCGUUGGUGAACCAGCGGAGGGAUCAUUACCGAGUUUACAACUCCCAAACCCCUAUGUGAACGUUACCAAACUGUUGCCUCGGCGGGAAAUUCAUGCCCCGGGCGCGUCGCAGCCCCGGACCAAGGCGCCCGCCGGAGGACCAACCAAAACUCUUUUGUAUGUCCCUCGCGGACUUUUAUAAUUCUGAACCAUCUCGGCGCCCCUAGCGGGCGUUUCGAAAAUGAAUCAAAACUUUCAACAACGGAUCUCUUGGUUCUGGCAUCGAUGAAGAGCGCAGC
Molecule: unclassified non-coding RNA, 282 nt
Filed under: plant metagenome
Description: partial contains small subunit ribosomal RNA, internal transcribed spacer 1, and 5.8S ribosomal RNA
Rfam family: 5.8S ribosomal RNA (bases 234-282)
Source: RNAcentral